ACAACCGCGGAUGGGGAGGAUGCGGGUGGGGUGAAUUACAUGGAGAAUGGAGUAGGCGGCGAGCUCCACAAAGGGGAUGAGGGGCGUGGGGCUGAAGGUAUGGUUCGCUACAGCGGUGGUGACACGGAACCUACCACGCCCACCGGAUCUCGGUUGUUGCUCUCUCUCGAUCUGUUCGAUACUCGGUUGUUUCUUUACUCUCCAUCCAGAUCCUGCAGAGGCGCCUUGGGCUGGUGAGGUCGCUGGUGUUGGCAACGAUGCUGCAGAUCGGGUCGCACCUCUUUGUCACCUGGAGCUUCCCCGAGGUUCCCGGUACUAUUGAUGGUGUCUCUUUCUGUUCUUAUUACUGCUGCACAAAGCUGUUGAGCUUGGUCGUUUUCCUUUCUUGGUUGUGUUUGCAGACCAGGACACACAUCGUGGUGACUUGGUCAGCUCCUUGGUCAUCAUCUGGUCCAUCACCGAGGUAUGUAUUCACCAUUGACUUCACUCAUAUCAUACGCUCCUUGAAAGCUAGGGACUACAGUUGUUCAUAAUAAAUGUAUUAUCAAGCCGCGAGGCGCUCCUGUUGAUGUGCACACUAGCUCGAGAUGUGUCCCUCAAUUAAUGCAAAUGCGAGUAUGCGAUGACGAUUUGACAUGUGUGUGUUGCUGCUUCAAAUUGAAUUUCUAGAUACUAAUGAGGAAUUUAACAAAGAAUUAUUAUAGCUUAAUUUACUAUACUUCACUAUUAUAUCAGGGGAGAUGUGGUUACAUCUUAAUUUACUAUGCUUCAAACUGUUUUCACGCUAUUGUAUGGUGCUUGCGAGACCUUGCCAUCUAAGGUUGCUCCAAAAUAACGGCUAGGCAACGCCUUAAACUAUGUGUUUGGUGAAACUUUUAAAUAGGAGAAUAUAGUGGAAACAUUGCAAUACCCACACACUUGUUCAGAAGUGUUUUGAAGCGUUGUAACCGGAGGCCAGUUUCAAGUAAAAUAAAAAAGGGAGUAUUGACAAUGUGUCUUCAGUAUGUUAUGUAGAAGGUAGUGUCCCACCUUUGUAUUUUCAUAUGGUUUGUUUACCACAGGCCAUCAGUUUUUGUAAUUUUGUGUGCUCGUUCUCUGAAAAUUAUUUCAUGUUAUUUGUACUCAGGUGCGUAACCUAACUACUCCCUCUGUCCCGCAAUUCUUAUCUGGACCACCACCAACCGGAGACGACGGGAACCGUAGCUGCUGCAACAACCUGUUAACCCGCCGGUGGCAGCAAGCUAAAGGCUCCCCCUUGCAAGGUCAAAGGAGAAGUACAACAGCGACAAUGUCCUGGAGCAGCACGGCGAUCUGGACGGGAAGGAGGGUAGCAGCAGGACGAGGGGCGCAACUAAGCCGUCUUGCUCUCUUCGGUCGACCCUCCAUGACGGACGCCACAAGAUCUUCUGUCUGCAGAAAGUGAAUUACUUGCUCAUCUAUUUAUUCUUUUGAAAUUGCAGCUGAAUUUUGUCAAACCUAGAGCGGGAUUUUGCAGCAAGAGAUAUCUCUGACAACCACUGUGCAAUCAUCUCAACGAUAAAAAUUUAGUGUAAAAUUUUGUCAAACUGAAUCUUUCUCAACAGAUUUAGUUAUUUUGCUAAAAAAUCAGUUUUGUAUCCUGCUCUGAAUAUAAAGUGUACUGCUUAUUGCAAGCAAGUUUAAAAUUUCAGUCUAAAAGUCAGUUAACUGAAUUUUGACACAAUAGUUAACUGAAUUUACUGUCAUCCCUAUCAAAUGCAGUUUAUCCGUUCGUCCUGCUUCUCACUUUCUUCUAUGUUUUCUAAGAAAAAAUUAACUUCCUUCUGUAGUUAUUCACAUGAUAUAUGUGCCAACUUCCUUUCGCAAAAUCUUGCCAUCUUGACCAACAUUUUGACAGGCUUACUGCUAAUCUAGGGCCACAUGAGACUUUGUUGGGUUAGUUAUUUUUCGCACCAACCAACAAUGCAUAGAAAUCUGCUAGAUUACCCAAGUCCAUAGCAAAGGAGGAAGAAAGUGAAAUGUGAGGCUGAUCAACUUAUCCAUCAGCUAGAUAACCCCAAGUGUAACUGGGUUCAGGGCCUGUACUUGCUUACCGAUGGAAAAGGACAAAUAAUUGGAUUGCUGUUUUCAACAAUGGGUGUUGAUGUUUGCAUGAUCAGUGUUAAUCCAAGGUAAUCAAAGUACUGAAUCACUCCUUUCUGGAGUAUUGUCAUUUAACAAUAAACUGAGUUACUGCCAUUUAAGAGUAAAUUGAAUUUAUCUUGAGUAUGCAGUAAACUUGCUAGAGUACAAAUUUAUGCAUUACUCCAUAUUUUCUGAAGUACUGUCAUUUACUCCAUACUCCAAAUUUAUGCAUUAUUCCUUGCUGGAGUAUUUUUAAAAUACUCCUAGUGUUAAAAUCGUCAUGUUGUAUAAACUUGGCAUCUUGUUGUUCACUAUAUUUCUUUUCACUGAUGCAUUUUCCAUGUUAUUUUAAUCUGACAUACCACAUUAAUUUCUUAUUCAACGAUGUUCUUAACUAUUUACAGGUUGUAACAAAAUUUCUCACUAUGGAGUCCUUGCUUGACGAGAGCGUUGACAAGGAGAUAAAUUUGCAGAUCGAAUGAGGUGGAACUCCUUUAACAGUAACGCUGAAGGUAGUUUGCAAGCUUGCCAUGUCUUGUUUAAUCUUCAUACCAGAGAGCAGUAUAUAUGAUCGAUUACUCCGUGUAAUAAUGCAUCUUUGACUUUGCAGAUCGAAAUGUAGGAACUAGUUAUUUUGGAAGAACUAGUUAUGUAGGAACAGUCUAUAUAAGGAUGUAUAUAGAUAUAUUUUAAAAUAUUUAUCUAUUUAUUUCGUUUCAUACGUACUCUGUAGUAAAAUCUUUAAAAGAUCUUAUAUUUAAAAACAAAGGAGGUUGAGUAUUGGUCAGAUGCUUAUAGUAGGCCUAAUUAAGUAGCCCAUUGUUUAUCACAUACAUGCAUGAACCUUUUGUUUGAGAAUCAUACGUGCAUGGAUGUUGCCCAGGUAAACCAAGACGCACGGUAGAAUCUUCCCACUGUUUAUCAUGUAUGUAAGCUGUCUCACAGACAUCGAGCCUGGGCAAGUGCCCGGGGUGGUCGGGCGCUGGCUCCGCCACUGCCUACUUUCAUUGUUCUUUUCUGAGCCGAAUAGCUUAUGCUCUCAGAGUAUCAGGAAAAGAAUAUGUAAUUGUUUCUAUGGUAUUUGGCCUUCAUGUAUAUUUCAUACCGUAUCUCCGUAUGCCUUCUUUCUUGUGCAGUAAACAUAAAAAUAUAUGCUACAUUAUAAUAUUCUGUACCAGGUGCACGCACACUUUGCAUGCAUUUUUACAUCAUGGUGAUUAGAAGCAGAAUAGACAAUUAUUCAGAGACGUAAAGAUUAGAAUAAAAAAGAUUCACAUGUAUUUUAUCUGUACCUUCAUUACUAGAAGUUGUAUGCUUUCUUAUGUUUGAUUAUUUGAAUUACCAGGAUGAUCUGAAGCACCCAAAAGAAGUAGAGGACAUGACGGGAGAAGGGAACAAGAAGCUUCGUUUAUCAUUGAUGUUAUGUUGUGCACUUGUUGGGCCUUGAACCUUUAUGUGUAGAGGAGUCGAUGAAUGAUGUAUUGUAAUUCAUGUGAUGUGUUACUGAAAUGAAAUAUAUACAACUAAUUUGCAAUAUUUUAUUCUUGUGUAUUUGUUUUUUAAUUGGUCUAUCCUGAGAUAUACAUGCUUUUAGUAAAAUAAUGCAUCAGCC
RNAcentral lists this long non-coding RNA (3715 nucleotides) under Hordeum vulgare. RNAcentral describes it as "long non-coding RNA (HVUL_LNC010527)". The record is from RNAcentral. Lineage: Eukaryota; Viridiplantae; Streptophyta; Magnoliopsida; Poales; Poaceae.